Long non-coding RNA from Dermacentor albipictus, 1493 nucleotides. RefSeq lists it as uncharacterized. Lineage: Eukaryota; Metazoa; Arthropoda; Arachnida; Ixodida; Ixodidae. The record is from RefSeq and is a predicted model, not a curated record.
UCGUGCGCCUUUCAUGCUUGCGAAUGAUGAAAUCGAGUUCUGCCAUGAAUCGCGGUGGGAAGUAAGCUAGCGCCCUUGCGCGGUUGUUUAGAAAUGUGUUAAAGUGGAGCAUGGCCUCCGAGAUUGCACCAGCGUACGAAUGCUCCACUUCGAUGCACCAGGCUGCGAGUGGGGCAUCCAGUGGAGUCUGUGGAGAGUUCGUAGUGGCGCGAGUAUGCGGACUGCCCCAAAGCGACUACAGGCAAAAGCCAAGGUCGCGUAUCGCUUUAUGCCACCGUGACAAAGACCAUCCUUUUGAGCAACGAUGUUGAGCCAGCAGCUGCGUUAUGUUGCAGAAUGCUGAUGACUGCAGGACAUCUGCAUAUCCGAGGCCAACGCCAGAUGAACGGGAGCAGUUCAUGGACGAGCUGCAAGUCGUGGGGCAAGCAGAAUACCUUUGCGCAGCCGAGAAGAACACACUCGAAGCAUUUGUUCAGGAAGGCGAGCCUGGAGAAAUGGGAGUACCUCAGGAAGUGUCAAUUGAGAACUUCUUGUGCCUGGAAAUUAAGGAAGGACCCCUUGUGCCUGCUAGGAAAACUAAGCCUCGAGGAAAAAAAGUCAACAGAAAAGGCACUUGUUGGUUACGCUGUGAUGUGUGUCAGUAUACCACAAGAUGGCCUAGUAAUCACAGGAAACACAUGAAAACCCACCAACAGAAGCGCUUCAAGUGUGACGUUUGUCCGGGGACAUUUUCGACAGAGAAUGAGGAUCAUUUCAAGGCUCACAUGUGGGUUCAUACUGGCGUGAAGCCAUUCAAGUGCAACAAGUGCUCGUAUGCAACCACGAGGAAGCAUCUCUUAGAAAAACAUAAUUCAGAACAGCACAUUGAACUGAGCAUUAUCUAUGUUGAGUGAACAUUGCAUUCAACUAAUAAAGGGAUGGGGAGGAGGGCAGGACACUCGGCUUCCCCAAGAGCCAUUGACCUGGGGAAUCGUCUUCUUGAUAUACAGCUUCCAAGGCCAGUCAUGCAAAUUUGUAACGUCCUUUAAUAAUUCAUGCUUUUUACAUCAUUUAAUUGAGUUCUCCCAGCGUGCCAUUACCUGCAUUUGUCAUUUGUUUUCUUGUUUCCACUGUUGCUUUCGGUGCCCUAUGUCCUUUUGUAAAAUAUUUUGUAAUAUGUUUUUUAGGAGAGGGAAGGGGAAUUGAGGGCUGUUAAAGCUAUCUGUAAAGCAUGCAUGCAUUCUGUCUUUUCUUUUAUAUUAAUUUUUUCCUGAAAAUAAUUUUUCUUUUUUUCUUAUAAAGAUGAAAUAUUCUUUUAUGCCUUCUGCUAGCCUCUUGCAUAUGUAGUAUGCUACUUCCUUCUUUUUUCCUAACAUAGUGUGUCAUUGUUAGUGCCAUUACUUUUAUUUUUUUCAUGUUAGUAAACUGCAUUGCUGUGUAUCCCUCCAUUAUGCAAUUCCUUUUGGUGCCCAUAAGGUAUUUAAAUGAAUAAACUUGUCCUUUUCGAUUAUGCA